GUGCUGACUUCGGCAACGCAUAUACUAAAAUUGGAACGAUACAGAGAUUAUCAUGGCCCCUGUGCAAGGAUGAUACACAAAUUCAUGAAGUGUUCCAUAUUUUU
This is a small nuclear RNA of Phyllostomus discolor (pale spear-nosed bat), 104 nucleotides long. Lineage: Eukaryota; Metazoa; Chordata; Mammalia; Chiroptera; Phyllostomidae. The record is from RefSeq and is a predicted model, not a curated record.